Molecule: ribosomal RNA, 301 nt
Filed under: uncultured bacterium
Lineage: Bacteria
Description: partial 16S ribosomal RNA
Rfam family: Bacterial small subunit ribosomal RNA
Source: RNAcentral
CAGCCGCCGCGGGAAUACAUAGGGUGCGAGCGUUAAUCGGAUUUACUGGGCGUAAAGCGUGCGUAGGCGGCUUCUUAAGUCGGAUGUGAAAUCCCUGAGCUUAACUUAGGAAUUGCAUUCGAUACUGGGAAGCUAGAGUAUGGGAGAGGAUGGUAGAAUUCCAGGUGUAGCGGUGAAAUGCGUAGAGAUCUGGAGGAAUACCGAUGGCGAAGGCAGCCAUCUGGCCUAAUACUGACGCUGAGGUACGAAAGCAUGGGGAGCAAACAGGAUUAGAUACCCGGGUAGUCCCUGUCUCUUAUAC